AAACGACGAAAACUACGCUUUAGCAGCUUAAUAACCUGCUCUGAGCCCUCUCUCCCUAGCUUCCGCUCUUAAGACGGGGAUCAAAGAGAGGUCAAACCCAAAAGAGAUCGCGUGGAUGCCCUGCCUGGGGUUGAAGCGUUAAAUCUAAUCAGGCUAGUUUGUUAGUGGCGUGUCUGUCCGCAGCUGGCAAGCGAAUGUAAAGACUGACUAAGCAUGUAGUGCCGAGGAUGUAGGAAUUUCGGACGCGGGUUCAACUCCCGCCAGCUCCACCA
This 272-nucleotide transfer-messenger RNA is filed under the name Klebsiella pneumoniae. RNAcentral describes it as "partial transfer-messenger RNA". It matches the Rfam family "transfer-messenger RNA", at positions 95 to 374 of the family's 374-position model. Rfam says of the family: Bacterial tmRNA, also known as 10Sa RNA or SsrA, is named for its dual tRNA and mRNA-like properties. Its role is to liberate the mRNA from a stalled ribosome. To accomplish this part of the tmRNA is used as a reading frame that ends in a translation stop signal. Lineage: Bacteria; Pseudomonadati; Pseudomonadota; Gammaproteobacteria; Enterobacterales; Enterobacteriaceae. RNAcentral also lists the same sequence under 1 other name. The record is from RNAcentral.